AGACCCGAAACCCGGUGAUCUAGCCAUGGGCAGGUUGAAGGUUGGGUAACACUAACUGGAGGACCGAACCGACUAAUGUUGAAAAAUUAGCGGAUGACCUGUGGCUGGGGGUGAAAGGCCAAUCAAACCGGGAGAUAGCUGGUUCUCCCCGAAAGCUAUUUAGGUAGCGCCUCGUGAAUUCAUCUCCGGGGGUAGAGCACUGUUUCGGCUAGGGGGCCAUCCCGGCUUACCAACCCGAUGCAAACUGCGAAUACCGGAGAAUGUUAUCACGGGAGACACACGGCGGGUGCUAACGUCCGUCGUGAAGAGGGAAACAACCCAGACCGCCAGCUAAGGUCCCAAAGUCAUGGUUAAGUGGGAAACGAUGUGGGAAGGCCCAGACAGCCAGGAUGUUGGCUUAGAAGCAGCCAUCAUUUAAAGAAAGCGUAAUAGCUCACUGGUCGAGUCGGCCUGCGCGGAAGAUGUAACGGGGCUAAACCAUGCACCGAAGCUGCGGCAGCGACGCUGAUGCGUUGUUGGGUAGGGGAGCGUUCUGUAAGCCUGCGAAGGUGGCCUGUGAGGGUUGCUGGAGGUAUCAGAAGUGCGAAUGCUGACAUAAGUAACGAUAAAGCGGGUGAAAAGCCCGCUCGCCGGAAGACCAAGGGUUCCUGUCCAACGUUAAUCGGGGCAGGGUGAGUCGACCCCUAAGGCGAGGCCGAAAGGCGUAGUCGAUGGGAAACGGGUUAAUAUUCCCGUACUUGGUGUUACUGCGAAGGGGGGACGGAGAAGGCUAUGUUGGCCGGGCGACGGUUGUCCCGGUUUAAGCGUGUAGGCUGGUUUUCCAGGCAAAUCCGGAAAAUCAAGGCUGAGGCGUGAUGACGAGGCACUACGGUGCUGAAGCAACAAAUGCCCUGCUUCCAGGAAAAGCCUCUAAGCAUCAGGUAACAUCAAAUCGUACCCCAAACCGACACAGGUGGUCAGGUAGAGAAUACCAAGGCGCUUGAGAGAACUCGGGUGAAGGAACUAGGCAAAAUGGUGCCGUAACUUCGGGAGAAGGCACGCUGACACGUAGGUGAAGUGAUUUACUCAUGGAGCUGAAGUCAGUCGAAGAUACCAGCUGGCUGCAACUGUUUAUUAAAAACACAGCACUGUGCAAACACGAAAGUGGACGUAUACGGUGUGACGCCUGCCCGGUGCCGGAAGGUUAAUUGAUGGGGUCAGCGCAAGCGAAGCUCCUGAUCGAAGCCCCGGUAAACGGCGGCCGUAACUAUAACGGUCCUAAGGUAGCGAAAUUCCUUGUCGGGUAAGUUCCGACCUGCACGAAUGGCGUAAUGAUGGCCAGGCUGUCUCCACCCGAGACUCAGUGAAAUUGAACUCGCUGUGAAGAUGCAGUGUACCCGCGGCAAGACGGAAAGACCCCGUGAACCUUUACUAUAGCUUGACACUGAACAUUGAGCCUUGAUGUGUAGGAUAGGUGGGAGGCUUUGAAGUGUGGACGCCAGUCUGCAUGGAGCCGACCUUGAAAUACCACCCUUUAAUGUUUGAUGUUCUAACGUGGACCCGUUACCCGGGUUGCGGACAGUGUCUGGUGGGUAGUUUGACUGGGGCGGUCUCCUCCUAAAGAGUAACGGAGGAGCACGAAGGUUGGCUAAUCCUGGUCGGACAUCAGGAGGUUAGUGCAAUGGCAUAAGCCAGCUUGACUGCGAGCGUGACGGCGCGAGCAGGUGCGAAAGCAGGUCAUAGUGAUCCGGUGGUUCUGAAUGGAAGGGCCAUCGCUCAACGGAUAAAAGGUACUCCGGGGAUAACAGGCUGAUACCGCCCAAGAGUUCAUAUCGACGGCGGUGUUUGGCACCUCGAUGUCGGCUCAUCACAUCCUGGGGCUGAAGUAGGUCCCAAGGGUAUGGCUGUUCGCCAUUUAAAGUGGUACGCGAGCUGGGUUUAGAACGUCGUGAGACAGUUCGGUCCCUAUCUGCCGUGGGCGCUGGAGAACUGAGGGGGGCUGCUCCUAGUACGAGAGGACCGGAGUGGACGCAUCACUGGUGUUCGGGUUGUCAUGCCAAUGGCACUGCCCGGUAGCUAAAUGCGGAAGAGAUAAGUGCUGAAAGCAUCUAAGCACGAAACUUGCCCCGA
This 2109-nucleotide ribosomal RNA is filed under the name Salmonella enterica subsp. enterica serovar Enteritidis. Its description in RNAcentral is "partial 23S ribosomal RNA". It matches the Rfam family "Bacterial large subunit ribosomal RNA", at positions 711 to 2802 of the family's 2925-position model. The record is from RNAcentral. Lineage: Bacteria; Pseudomonadati; Pseudomonadota; Gammaproteobacteria; Enterobacterales; Enterobacteriaceae.